GUGGAUUAGAUACCCGGGUAGUCCUAGCCGUAAACGAUGGGUACUAGGUGUAGGGGGUAUCGACCCCCCCUGUGCCGGAGUUAACGCAAUAAGUACCCCGCCUGGGGAGUACGGCCGCAAGGUUGAAACUCAAAGGAAUUGACGGGGGCCCGCACAAGCGGUGGAGUAUGUGGUUUAAUUCGACGCAACGCGAAGAACCUUACCAAGGCUUGACAUUGAGUGAAAUGUUAAGAGAUUAGCACCCCUCUUCGGAGGCACGAAAACAGGUGGUGCACGGCUGUCGACAGCU
This 289-nucleotide ribosomal RNA is filed under the name uncultured bacterium. RNAcentral's name for it is "partial 16S ribosomal RNA". It matches the Rfam family "Bacterial small subunit ribosomal RNA", at positions 773 to 1060 of the family's 1533-position model. The record is from RNAcentral.